RNAcentral lists this small nuclear RNA (164 nucleotides) under Rhipicephalus microplus (southern cattle tick). RNAcentral describes it as "U1 spliceosomal RNA". It matches the Rfam family "U1 spliceosomal RNA". From Rfam's summary of the family: U1 is a small nuclear RNA (snRNA) component of the spliceosome (involved in pre-mRNA splicing). Its 5' end forms complementary base pairs with the 5' splice junction, thus defining the 5' donor site of an intron. Lineage: Eukaryota; Metazoa; Arthropoda; Arachnida; Ixodida; Ixodidae. The record is from Rfam by way of RNAcentral.
AUACUUACCUGGUGUCGGGGUGACCGUGGUCAAUAUGGCGGUGCCCCCAGGUAGAGGCGCGGGCAUUGCACUGCGCUCGUGCUGACCCCUGCCACUACCCCAAACUGGGGCAGAUGGGGCAUGCAAUUUUUGGUAGUGGGGGACUGCGUUCGCGCUCUCCCCCU